This 528-nucleotide ribosomal RNA is filed under the name uncultured bacterium. RNAcentral describes it as "bacterial SSU rRNA". It matches the Rfam family "Bacterial small subunit ribosomal RNA", at positions 791 to 1318 of the family's 1533-position model. The record is from RNAcentral.
UAGUCCACGCCGUAAACGAUGAGCACUAGUUUUCGGGUAAAGCAUUAUUCGGAGACGCAGUUAACGCAUUAAGUGCUCCGCCUGGGGAGUACGGCCGCAAGGCUAAAACUCAAAGGAAUUGACGGGGACCUGCACAAGCGGUGGAUUAUGUGGUUUAAUUCGAAGCAACGCGAAGAACCUUACCUAGGUUUGAAAUCCUACGAAUCCUUCUGAAAAGAGGGAGUGCCCUUCGGGGAAUGUAGUGACAGGUGCUGCAUGGCUGUCGUCAGCUCGUGUUGUGAAAUGUUGGGUUAAGUCCCGCAACGAGCGAAACCCCUAUCCUUAGUUGCCAGCAUUUAGUUGGGCAUUCUAGGGAUACAGCCGAGGUUAACUCGGAGGAAGGUGGGGAUAACGUCAAGUCCUCAUGGCCCUUAUACCUAGGGCUACACACGUAAUACAAUGGAUAGUACAGAGGGAAGCGACCCAGUGAUGGUAAGCAAAAUCUCAAAAAGCUCUUCUCAGUCCGGAUUGAAGUCUGCAACUCGACUU